CCUACGGGAGGCAGCAGUGGGGAAUAUUGGGCAAUGGACGCAAGUCUGACCCAGCAACGCCGCGUGAAGGAAGAAGGCUUUCGGGUUGUAAACUUCUUUUAAGGGGGAAGAGCAGAAGACGGUACCCCUUGAAUAAGCCACGGCUAACUACGUGCCAGCAGCCGCGGUAAUACGUAGGUGGCAAGCGUUGUCCGGAUUUACUGGGUGUAAAGGGCGUGCAGCCGGGGAGCAAAGUCAGAUGUGAAAUCCGCGGGCUCAACCCGCGAAAUGAAUUUGAAACUGUUUCCCUUGAGUAUCGGAGAGGGCAUCGGAAGUCCUAGUGUAGCGGUGAAAUGCGGAGAUAUUAGGAAGAACACCAGUGGCGAAGGCGGAUGACUGGACGACAACUGACGGUGAGGCGCGAAAGCGUGGGGAGCAAACAGGAUUAGAUACCCCAGUAGUC
RNAcentral lists this ribosomal RNA (442 nucleotides) under uncultured bacterium. RNAcentral's name for it is "partial 16S ribosomal RNA". It matches the Rfam family "Bacterial small subunit ribosomal RNA", at positions 338 to 795 of the family's 1533-position model. The record is from RNAcentral.